Mirounga angustirostris (Northern elephant seal) is the source of this 7046-nucleotide long non-coding RNA. RefSeq lists it as uncharacterized. The record is from RefSeq and is a predicted model, not a curated record. The transcript has 5 exons. NCBI's taxonomy places the organism in Eukaryota, Metazoa, Chordata, Mammalia, Carnivora, Phocidae.
GCGCCGCCGGCGGAGAGACGAGAGGAGCUCGGUAUUUCGCCCAAAUAGCAAAUCCGGAGGGGAUGCCAGAGCAGCUCUGCACCCGGCUGGGGCCCCACCCCACCCCAAGGGGACACGCCUGCGCCUUAACUCUGGUGGCGCGGGCGCCCCAGUGCUAGGAUACGCUUGGCACUGAGAGGGUACUUCAUCCCUGAGACUCAUCAUUGAAUCUCCAUGUCUGGCCCAGGCCCGAACAUGCAAUAGGCACCCACUAGAUGCUUGGUGAAGGAGAGGAGUCCCAGCCCAGCUGGUCAGUGAAGUCUUGGUUCACCUCAACUAUCACCUUGAAGAGUCAUUGUCUCGCUGACCAGAUGGUUUCGAAGUAUCCUCACCCCCUUUCCUCAAUGUCUGACUACUCUAUUUUCCUAGCAACACCCGCCACUAUCUGAAGGAAGGAGCAUGAUGAAAAGUUUCACUGUGUGUCCACAUCCCUGCUCUGAGCCAGGCAGGGCCAGACCCGAGCUUCCCACCACCGUCUACAGAAGGAAGCAACUCAACCCAGCAAGGCAUUCUUGAGAGGCCAUGACAAUACCUUGUGUCUACUGAAUUGUGGAGGAAAAAUACAAGAUUGCUCAACGAAUCCUUCUCCAGCGGCUGCCAGUGCAACCUCUCCAGCAGGCUUCAGGAGAAAGAGCAACACAUCCCCUCGUGGGAGGUCUCUGCCUCCACACCCCGACGCCCACCCCCAAAUCCAGCAGGGACUAGACGCCCGCCGAGGAGCCAGUAGAACAGAAUGGGGUGUGGGAGUCUUUGCUCCAGCACCUCCCAUUCAGACCCAUGAGUCCUGGGAGUGCCAGUGCCCUGCAGACCUGUGAAUGUGGCCAGGCCCGUCACGGGGCCCGAGGGCUCCGAGGGAGCGGCAAUCCCUCCCAUUCUCCUGUGUGGAGAACAUGCGGUGCUGAGAACAGCUGUGGCCUUUGCAGCCCGGGGUGAGCUCUGCCGGGACACUGUUUCUUCUGUCCCUGCCACCUGGUGGGGCCUGGGGGCACCUCGUGGGGGCAGCUCCUGGCUGAGCCUGGCCCAUCAGAGCCCCUGGUCUCUCUGGGCACACGCCUGGUCCAGGCUGAGACCAUCUCCCAGGCUGAUGUGAACACACGUCUGGGGACAGAGGUCACCAGCUCCAAGGGUGACACAAGCCCGGGGCUGCCUUGCCGCCCUCUGCGAGGGGCUUCCUGAGUGAGGCGGAUGCACAGGGAGGGCCCAGGGUCAUGGUUUGGAGAUCUAGGAGGUUUUUCAAUGACCCAAGCUAAUAGAAUGAUUAUGUUGUAACCUGUAUUUUGUCUGGUUUGGUUUGGCUUUGAUCUUUGUUACUGCCUGAGUCACCCAGUUAGAACAGGUGCAGCCUCCCCGACCUCCAGCGACCUUUGUCACUACUCAGAUGCUGUGGCUCUCAAGCUCGAACACAUUGGGGUUCACUGAAUGGGCUUGUUCGAUGGAGGGGGCAGGCAGGGCCAAGGAGUGUAGAUCUUCCACAAACGUCCCAUCUCAGCAAGGAUAAAAUCUACUAUGUGACAUUGGCCAUUCUGGCCCCCACGUGUAUAAUCUCUAGGAAGGCAUUCUCAUCAGAUCUACACUGACGAAGGAGCUCGCUGCCCCAUCAGCCUCCCCACCAGCUCCGAGGCAGCUCUGUGUGGGCCAUGUUGGCACCCCUCCAGCCCCUCUGGGACUGCACUCAGGUGCUCCUGUGUGGGAAGCCCAGGUGACAGUUCUGAGGCCGAGGGCCACCCCGGCACUGUCCUCGGGCUGUGACAGAUCUCAGCCCCCACAGGCAGGUGGGAGUCCUGCUCUGGCAACUGAGUGGGGACCCAGGAGAAAAACAUUAUUCUGCAGAUAUUCCUUUCCUCUUCCCUUUGAUCCCCUCAAGUCUGCGUUUCAUCAUGUACAUCGUGUGCAUUUCUGUGAGGGGCCUCCGAUGGGCCCAGUUGAGAUGAGAAUGGGUGUCAGAAGCAGGCCAUCCCAUAAUGAAGGAGGUCUGUUGAGACCUGAAAAUUUGCUGAAAGUGAACAGCUUUGAUGAUCAAAACUUUGCCGUUAGAAUUCAUAUUUCAUAGGCUCUUCCUGAAUAAAAGGGCAACAAAUAAUUUAGGUUUAAUUGUUUGCCAACAGCUGAGUAACACAGCCCAACUGCACGUUAGCAGAAGGAGCAAGAUGGUGGGAAGUGCCUUCUGUCGGACUCCCAUGCCGAAAGCACAAUUUGAUAAAGGAUUUCAGAGUCCUCAGUUUAAAUACAUUUUAAAUUUUUUUAAUUUUAAUUUUUUUUUGAGAGAGAGAGGAGGGGCAGAGGGAGAGGGAGAGCAUCUUAAAAGCAGACUCCAUGCCCAGUGCAGAGCCUCACGUGGGGUUUGAUCUCACGACCCUGAGAUCAUGACCUGAGCCGAAGCCAAGAGUCGGACGCUUAACUGACUGAGCCACCCAGGUGGCCCUAAACACAUUUUUUAAAAGUCAUAGACCAGGUUGGUGGCUGGGCUCAGAAGGGGUAACCCUAACCCUUCUCCCUACAGGUGGAUGUGUUCACCAACCUGGAAGUGCUCCAAACACUAUACUAUUGGGGUUUUUAUGGAGGCUCAGCAUGCAGGCAUGAUCAAUUAUUCACUCCAUUUCCCUCUCUGGAGAAUAGGGCAUGGGGCUGAAAGUCCCAAGCUUCUGAUUAAGGUUUGGUCUUUCUGGUGACUAUUCAGGACCCACCAAAAGCCACCUCAUUGGAAUAAAAAAAAAUGUUCCGAUAACCCAGGAAAUUCAAAGGAGCUCUGUGCUGGGAACUGGGGUCAAAGUCCAAAUACCAGAACAAAAGAUGCUCCUGGCACCAUCACUUAGGAAAGUACGAAGUUUUUAGGAGCUCUGGCUAGGAGCUGGACAUGAAGACCAAACCAUAUAUAUAUAUUUUUAAAGAUUUUAUUUAUUUGAGAGAGAGAGAGAAUGAGAGAGAGAGAGCAUGAGGAGGGGAGGGUCAGAGGGAGAAGCAGACUCCCCGCCGAGCAGGGAGCCCUACGCGGGACUCGAUCCCGGGACUCCAGGAUCAUGACCCGAGCUGAAGGCAGUCGCUCAACCAACUGAGCCACCCAGGCGCCCCAAACCAUAUAUUUUUUAUUAUGUUACAACAUCACAACCAAUAUCGAUCCUUCCUUUCUUCUUAGUGACAGUUCUCCCACCUGAAUUGCUGAUGCAUUUUCCAGACUCCCUUGCAGUCAGUGCAGGUGGGUAACUAGGUUGGGGAUGAUGGUGUAUAAGCAGGAAUGGUGUCUGAGAGCUUCUGGAGACCCCCUUGAAGACAGGGCGUGACCAGACGUGAAGGCUGGAGCUCCGGCAGCCACUGUGGAGGGAGAACAGAAGCCACACACAGUGGGAUGGAAGAAUUCCUGCUCGCUGGUAGCCCCACUGCAAAUUUCAUGCAAGCAGGGAAUGCCAACCUCCAGGCUUCCUUCACCAGAAAGAGAAUGCAUUUCGGACUUAUUUUAACCAGUGUUAUUUUGGCUUUCUGUUUAUGUAGCUGAACCAAAUCAUAGGGAAUAAUAAACACCAGUGGCCACCUCUGCGAUUAUUACAGGGCCGUCUCCCCUACAGUAUAACAUUGCUCAGAACCUGUAUCAGCAUCCUCCUUCAUGUCCCAGUUUUUGUGGUGGCCCUUAGUCCCCAGGCUGCUGUCCAAGGAGAACUGCUGAUCACUCUGACCGCACUGCUUUGAUAUUCAGGACGCAUCUCUCCCAUGUUCCAGGAAAUCCACAGUACCUGUUUUUGGUUCUGACUCAAUGUACCCUGACUUUGUCCAUCCUUCAAUCACAAGCACCCCUCCCCCACCUAGUAAAUGUGAAGUCCCACCUUUCUGAUUUUGUCCGUUUAGAAAAAUCAGUGGAGCAACAUGGUUCCACACCUGGCUGCUCACCUGCUGGAAUCAGGUAAGCCCUGGGCUGUGCUCACCAGGUAAGAUCUCCUGGACCAGGGUUUUCUGCCCUGCAGACCCUGCCCUCCCUUCACAGGCCUUCCUUUUGUGCUGCUUGUCAUGCUGAGGUUUGAACAGAAACAGAACCAGGGGGCAGCAGUAGCCAGAGGAACCUGCAAGAGGGACAUGCGUUGCUGCCACCUGCCCACGGGCUGGGGUUAGGCACACUCCUCACAUGAGGCAUCUCAUUAUGUUGCACCUCUUGAUGGCCCCCUGAAGUGGGUGUGAUUACCCCUGCCUAAGGUCGUGCAGCAGGUGCAUGGCAUAUCUGUCCUGUCCCAAGUCCAUUCUCUUAAUCACUGCUCUAUGCAACCAGCCUUUGGAUCCUGGUAGAGUCUGUGCCCAGGAGGUGCUGUACACUCACAGGCACUGGUAACUUCCGUGCCCUCUGAUGGCCUGUGUCACUUGCCCGCAGGGCCCUGAGCUCCAUGUGAGCUGAGCCCUGGCCAGCCUGGUCACCGGCACUUGGCUCCCAAAUGCACAGCCAUGCUGCUGCCCAAGAAAAACAUGUCCUGCAUAGAAGGCAGGUCCGGAACUCUCCAGAGCACUGGCUGCAGGACACGAAGGAAAAAGAACCGGAAGGCUACUGAGGAAAUCCAUGUUCUCGGCUAACCUCUUUUGGAAAAACGCCAGGCAAUCUUUCUCGACCUUCUGUGUCACAACAAUUAAGCAGCUGGUUUAUGAACCAUUAAGCUGACUGUGCUCAUUGAUGAUAUUUUAGGUUCUGUUGAAAUUUAAGCUGGUUCAUCUUUCAUAAUCAUCCAACAAUGGGUCAUCCAUCACGUUUACAGCUUCAGAAGAGAGCAGCAAGUGUCCCAUCCUGCAACGUCUCCCAAAAUGUUUAUUUUUUCCGUAAUUACAGCCUGAAAGCAUGGCUGCCUGUGUGGAUGGUGGAGAGUUGGUGGGGAAAGCUCCUGCAGCUGCUGAUAGGACUCCAACGGGGCCAUACAGGCUGCCUCCUUACUCCAAGGAAAAGCCACAAGCGAUCAGGAGGCCCCACUGUGCACAGCUGUGCAGUCUCCUGGGCUAGUCCCAAGAGGAGGCUGCCUGUGGCUAGUGGCCUGUAGGGACUGUCACUAGCUGCACAGACUUACCCUGACUAUCUCCCCCGCUCUUUACAUCUUUGGGAUUACCCUGGGCAUUGUGAGUUGCACCCAUGUCACAAACACAAUCCCUGUGUAUUCUGGGGGGUGGGAGGCUCCAUUCAGAAGCAGCCUGGGCAAAUACUCCUGCCCCACAAAACCCUGGAAGUCCUUCAUCUCUACUCUGGGGGUGUGAACAGCCCAGCCUGGUCUCGGCAUUUGCAGAAGUAACCCUCGCCACCCACACUGGGUCAUGGGCAGGGACUAGUGGCGUGCCCCUAGGACCAGCCUUCUGCCCCCUCAGGAGUGCCCAUGAACCAGUGUUUCCCUAGAUGUCUCCAGAAAGACCAGACCACUGGGGUGCAAGCGGUAAGCCCGGUUGGCACUUCUCAGCUCCUGCCGCAGCAACCUCUCAGCUCCCUUGUGAAUGCAGAUGUGGAACAGAGCAGGUCCCAGACCAGAAGAGCAGGGCUGUGGGAAGGAAGGGAUGGCUCAGGGAUGGCAGUAGCCACAGGCCGGGGUCCUGGAGAUUCUGGAUGGUGAGGGAAGGGAUGGGGUCACCGGAAAGAACCAGCCUCCUAGAGACUGCUGAGAAGGAGACUGUGAUAUGUUGACCUUAUUUAAUCUCUUGUACCAAAAAAGAAAAACAAUUAUAAUUUUGAGAGAUAAAGUUAUUGCUGUAAAGAAAUUUAAUUGUGGCAUUAUUUUAAAGAAAAAAUGGCUCAUAUGGAAAAAGUAUUUGGCCUUAGCGCUGGCAAUGUUUCCUUCCCACUGGCUCAGGCUCAUGCUUCUGGGCCUGCAGAGGGGCGGGGGGGACUGCUAUACUGGGCCCUAAACACACUACCACACAGACACCCGAGACCUAGAGAGACUUAAUUAUGGUUAUGGAACAAAAGAGACAUCUUAUCAGCUUUGCAAUAUAAAAACAGCCAUCUGAGGGGAGCUGGAGAGGCAGAGGGCCAGGCAGGGCACCAAGAUCUUCAUGUUGUCGGGGACGGACAGGACAGGCCGACUGCUCCUAGAUGUGUGGGGAUCAGCUAGCACAGCCCAGUUCUCCUGGGAGGCCCUGUUGCUGUCCCGCUGCAGAUAUGUGUUCACGCCUGUCUUGUUUUCAGUUGCUCUCUCUUGGCCCUGGGAGCCAUCCCUCUGGUUUGUUAGCAUCUUCUCUGUGCCCUUAUUUGCCAAGGCCUGCUUCUAAUGUGCACUGGAGAACAGCUUUUCUCCAUUAUAAUCCAUUUAUCCCGAAGCUCUUAGGUAGCUUUAUGAAUAUUGGUUUACAAUAUUAGCCAGAGCUCCCCCCCCCAAAAAUAGCCGGAGAAUUGCUGAUAAAAUAGAAACUAUUUCCCAAAGAAAUUUCAUCUAAAAAUAUAGCAGUUUCCACUCUCACCUCAUUGUAGGAGAGUGCACUGGAGGAAAAACUGGGACUUGCAUCCAGGUGACAGUCAUUUCUAAUGCCUCUUCUGUGUUAUUCCCAGGAAUUACUCAAAAAUAGGAAAAAAAUCUGUGACAAUAGAGGGGUUGUCUAAAAAGAAAUGUGCAUAUGAACAGGUCUUUCCAGCUAGGCAAAACCAAUUUUCUGCACAAAUAAUUCAGAGGAACCAGGAUAAAAGCUAUAUUGAUGAUGAGGGAACUCAGGACCAAGCCAUCUGGGCUUGACAUUGUUGCUGAUGGAUCUUUAAAAGAUCGUGCUAGCGGCGCCUGGGUGGCUCAGUCGGUUAAGCGGCUGCCUUCAGCUCAGGUCAUGAUCCCAGGGUCCUGGGAUCGAGCCCCGUGUCGGGCUCCCUGCUCGGGGGGAAGCCUGCUUCUCCCUCUCCCACUCCCCCUGCUUGUGUUCUUUCUCUAGUUCUCUGUCAGUUAAAUAAAUAAAUAAAAUCUUAAAAAAAAAAAUCGUGCUAGCGGAUUCUGUGAGCUGUCUCAUCUAUGUCUCUCAUUAUUCCCUUGAUCUCUAAAGUGCUUUCAACUCCCCAGAAUUGAGUGUGGGGCUUCUGG